CCUACGGGAGGCUGCAGUGGGGAAUAUUGGGCAAUGGGCGCAAGCCUGACCCAGCAACGCCGCGUGCAGGAAGAAGGCUUUCGGGUUGUAAACUUCUUUUGUCAGGGAAGAGUAGAAGACGGUACCUGACGAAUAAGCCACGGCUAACUACGUGCCAGCAGCCGCGGUAAUACGUAGGGGGCAAGCGUUGUCCGGAUUUACUGGGUGUAAAGGGCGUGUAGCCGGGUUGACAAGUCAGAUGUGAAAUCCUGCGGCUUAACCGCAGAACUGCAUUUGAAACUGUUGAUCUUGCGUCCGGGAGAGGCAGACGGAAUUCCGAGUGUAGCGGGGAAAUGCGUAGAUAUGAGGAGGAACACCAGUGGCGAGGGCGGUCUGCUGCAGAGCAACUGACGGUGAGGCGCGAAAGCGCGGGGAGCAAACAGGAUUAGAUACCCGAGUAGUC
This 442-nucleotide ribosomal RNA is filed under the name uncultured bacterium. Its description in RNAcentral is "partial 16S ribosomal RNA". It matches the Rfam family "Bacterial small subunit ribosomal RNA", at positions 338 to 795 of the family's 1533-position model. The record is from RNAcentral.